Molecule: ribosomal RNA, 1968 nt
Filed under: Triticum aestivum (bread wheat)
Lineage: Eukaryota; Viridiplantae; Streptophyta; Magnoliopsida; Poales; Poaceae
Description: partial small subunit ribosomal RNA
Source: RNAcentral
UCCGAUGUGAACAACACCGUAGUGUUGUCCACCUUCGGAUUCUGGAUUCCUUUGUCCCGAGUUCGCCAGGACCAACUGGGGACCGACGAGGCGUCCUUCAGCGUCACCGUCGUCUAUCAGCCGCUACCGGACCAGAGGCAUAGCGGCAUCGCCUUCCUCAUCCUCCCCCAUUGGGCCCUAAUUGAUCUCGAAUACAACGGGGCAAAUAGCUCCUUAGCGAAGCAACUGGUGGCCAGAGACAUCGGCUUCGUCGACCCCAAAUCUGUAACCCGAAGCGCCUCCUUCUCCGGCAGCUCCGUCUCAGUCGGGAUGGGCGUGCUGGCUAACCUCACGACCGCAAGGUACAAUGGUCGCGCCAUGGUAGUGGAAAUCAUCAUCCAUCAGGAGGUGGCAGAUGCCAUCUCUAACUAUUCAGUGUGGAUCGACUACAACCGCGUGGGGCGCAGUUUCUCGGUCUACGUGGACGUUGAAGGCAAGCCAAAGCCUGAUUACAACAUAGUCGAGAUGCAACAGAACAUCAGCAUCGAUUUCCCGUAUGCUAGUUUCGGCCUCGUCUCCACGGCUGCACAAUUGCUUCAGCCCCGAGGCAUCACAUGUAGGGCAACGGUUGAAGGCCUCCCUCCCCACUACCACGACAAAGGAGGCACCCAGUCGAGGAAGGUAACCAUCCUGUCAUCCGUCCCCGGGUCCAUAGCCACUGCCGCCGCAAUGGCCGCCGCCGUGGCGUGCUACUUGAACUCGAGGUACCGGCGGUGGCACAAGGACCUGGACCAGCUCGCCAAGUCUAUGGAGCGACUCCCAGGGGUCCCAUUGAAGAUCGACUUCGCAGACAUCAACAAGGCCACCCGCAAAUUCCAUGAGGACAUGAAGCUCGGCAGAGGAGGUUUUGGCACUGUGUACAGGUGCACGCUCCCCGCCGCCGCUUCCAAGAUGGAGCGGCCCAUGGACGUGGCCAUCAAGAGGUUUACGCGCGAUGUGCAGAAUUGCCGCUACGACGAUUUCCUCGCCGAGGUCAGCAUCAUCAACCGGUUGCGCCACAAGAACAUCGUCCCCCUCAUCGGGUGGUCAUACAACAAAGGAGUGCCGCUGCUUGUGUUCGAGUUCAUGGCAAAUGGUAGCCUAGACCAGCAUCUCUUCCAUAGAGGAGGCAGCGGCACCAGACAGCAGAACACCGAUGGCGCCAUCUGGCAAUGGGCAACCCGCUAUGAGAUCAUCAAGGGCGUAGCCACCGGCCUGCACUAUGUCCACCACGAGUACGAGCCCAUGGUGCUCCACCGUGACAUCAAGGCGAGCAACAUCAUGCUGGACUCGAGCUUUCAGGCCCGUCUUGGUGACUUCGGCCUGGCCUGCACCGUCUCCAUCGACAGGAAUUCCGUCACCGGCGUGGGUGGCACCUGGGGCUACAUCGCGCCAGAGUACCCGGUUAGCCGCAAGGCGACGCGGCAGACUGAUAUCUAUGCGCUUGGGGUGCUCAUCCUCGAGAUUGUCAAUGGGCUGCGGGCAUUGGCUGAUCACGAGGUGGUGGAUGAUGACGACAUACAUAUCACAGAUAGGGUGUGGCGCCUUCACCGUGAGGGGAGGCUACUGGAGUGUGUGGAUGCCAUGUUGACCGACGGUUCAACUCUUGACACCGAGGAGCAGCUAGAUACUACUGACGAUGCGGAACGCCUGCUGCUCCUAGGCCUGGCCUGCAGCAACCCGAACCCGUCAGACCGUCCAACCAUGCCUGAUGUGGUGCGGGUCAUCGCCAAGUCGGUACCGCCACCACAGGUGCCUCCUCAGAAGCCAAGAUUUGCGUGGCCACCUCAGGAAGAGGGACGUCCAGUACCCUCCGAUGAUGGUGGUAGCACGGGUACAUGGAUGAUGAGUAAUCUCGACAAUAGUACGGCAAGCGCUACCGGAGGACAUGCCGCAUUUCAACUCCAACACUCUGUCUACGUGAUGGCAGGCAGUGCCUCUGGUCCAUGA